AUUUAUGGAAGAACCUGGAUUAACCAUGG
This 29-nucleotide non-coding RNA is filed under the name Cricetulus griseus (Chinese hamster). Lineage: Eukaryota; Metazoa; Chordata; Mammalia; Rodentia; Cricetidae. The record is from RNAcentral.